CUCUCUCUCAAUACACCCCAGACCUCCCCUCUCUCUCAAUACACCCCAGACCUCCCCUCUCUCUCUCUGCACAACUGCUGUUGAAGGAACAACAUCGUCCAGUAUUUUAGCCUCAAGACAAAUCAAACUGGUGUUGUCCCAAAUGGCUCCCUCUUCACUACUUUUAACCAGGCCCCAUCGGGGAUUUUAGUCAAAAGUAGUGUACAGUGUAGUUGAGAAUAGUUGACCAUUUUGGUACGGCGCCAGUUUACCGACCAACCACCAAUUGUAACACAGCAAUCCAUGUCUCGUAUUUUAACAGGCGAUCCUAUUAAUGUCUACAUUCCCUGAAUGACGAGGGCACCAAGUACUCCAUCCAGAAUGAUCCCCUGUCUAGUGCACUACGUUUUGAUUAGAGCAAAGGGAGUAUAUCUAUCAGACAUGAAGGUCUAGGCCUUACUGUAGGGUGUCAACAGGUCCCGGUCUAGGCCUUACUGUAGGGUGUCAACAGGUCCUGGUGUAGGCCUUACUGUAGGGUGUCAACAGGUCCUGGUCUAGGCCUUACUGUAGGGUGUCAACAGGUCCUGGUCUAGGCCUUACUGUAGGGUGUCAACAGGUCCUGGUGUAGGCCUUACUGUAGGGUGUCAACAGGUCCUGGUCUAGGCCUUACUGUAGGGUGUCAACAGGUCCUGGUCUAGGCCUUACUGUAGGGUGUCAACAGGUCCUGGUCUAGGCCUUACUGUAGGAUGUCAACAGGUCCCGGUCUAGGCCUUACUGUAGGAUGUCAACAGGUCCUGGUCUAGGCCUUACUGUAGGGUGUCAACAGGUCCUGGUCUAGGCCUUACUGUAGGGUGUCAACAGGUCCUGGUGUAGGUCUAGGCCUUACUGUAGGAUGUCACCAGGUCCUGGUGUAGGCCUUACUGUAGGAUGUCAACAGGUCCUGGUCUAGGCCUUACUGUAGGAUGUCACCAGGUCCUGGUGUAGGCCUUACUGUAGGGUGUCACCAGGUCCUGGUCUAGGCCUUACUGUAGGAUGUCAACAGGUCCUGGUGUAGGCCUUACUGUAGGAUGUCAACAGGUCCCGGUCUAGGCCUUACUGUAGGAUGUCAACAGGUCCUGGUCUAGGCCUUACUGUAGGAUGUCACCAGGCCCUGGUCUAGGCCUUACUGUAGGAUGUCAACAGGUCCCGGUCUAGGCCUUACUGUAGGGUGUCAACAGGUCCUGGUGUAGGCCUUACUGUAGGGUGUCAACAGGUCCUGGUCUAGGCCUUACUGUAGGGUGUCAACAGGUCCCGGUCUAGGCCUUACUGUAGGGUGUCAACAGGUCCUGGUGUAGGCCUUACUGUAGGGUGUCAACAGGUCCUGGUCUAGGCCUUACUGUAGGGUGUCAACAGGUCCUGGUCUAGGCCUUACUGUAGGGUGUCAACAGGUCCUGGUCUAGGCCUUACUGUAGGAUGUCAACAGGUCCCGGUCUAGGCCUUACUGUAGGAUGUCAACAGGUCCUGGUCUAGGCCUUACUGUAGGAUGUCACCAGGCCCUGGUCUAGGCCUUACUGUAGGAUGUCAACAGGUCCUGGUCUAGGCCUUACUGUAGGGUGUCAACAGGUCCUGGUGUAGGCCUUACUGUAGGGUGUCAACAGGUCCUGGUCUAGGCCUUACUGUAGGGUGUCAACAGGUCCCGGUCUAGGCCUUACUGUAGGGUGUCAACAGGUCCUGGUGUAGGCCUUACUGUAGGGUGUCAACAGGUCCUGGUGUAGGCCUUACUGUAGGGUGUCAACAGGUCCUGGUCUAGGCCUUACUGUAGGGUGUCAACAGGUCCUGGUCUAGGCCUUACUGUAGGAUGUCAACAGGUCCUGGUGUAGGCCUUACUGUAGGAUGUCAACAGGUCCCGGUCUAGGCCUUACUGUAGGGUGUCAACAGGUCCUGGUCUAGGCCUUACUGUAGGGUGUCAACAGGUCCUGGUCUAGGCCUUACUGUAGGAUGUCAACAGGUCCUGGUCUAGGCCUUACUGUAGGAUGUCAACAGGUCCCGGUCUAGGCCUUACUGUAGGGUGUCAACAGGUCCUGGUCUAGGCCUUACUGUAGGAUGUCAACAGGUCCUGGUGUAGGCCUUACUGUAGGAUGUCAACAGGUCCUGGUGUAGGCCUUACUGUAGGAUGUCAACAGGUCCUGGUGUAGGUCUUACUGUAGGAUGUCAACAGGUCCCAGCCCUGCCAGACAUCACUCGUCUUAUACAAAAAAAAAAUAUUUCUCCUGUUUAUUAAAAACCAAAUAAAUCUGUGAUCAUGAA
This is a non-coding RNA of Oncorhynchus mykiss (rainbow trout), 2265 nucleotides long. NCBI's taxonomy places the organism in Eukaryota, Metazoa, Chordata, Actinopteri, Salmoniformes, Salmonidae. The record is from RefSeq and is a predicted model, not a curated record.